This 497-nucleotide ribosomal RNA is filed under the name uncultured bacterium. Its description in RNAcentral is "partial 16S ribosomal RNA". It matches the Rfam family "Bacterial small subunit ribosomal RNA", at positions 28 to 507 of the family's 1533-position model. The record is from RNAcentral.
GAUGAACGCUGGCGGCGUGCCUAAUACAUGCAAGUCGAGCGAACGGACGAGAAGCUUGCUUCUCUGAUGUUAGCGGCGGACGGGUGAGUAACACGUGGAUAACCUACCUAUAAGACUGGGAUAACUUCGGGAAACCGGAGCUAAUACCGGAUAAUAUUUUGAACCGCAUGGUUCAAAAGUGAAAGACGGUCCUGCUGUUACUUAUAGAUGGAUCCGCGCUGCAUUAGCUAGUUGGUAAGGUAACGGCUUACCAAGGCAACGAUGCAUAGCCGACCUGAGAGGGUGAUCGGCCACACUGGAACUGAGACACGGUCCAGACUCCUACGGGAGGCAGCAGUAGGGAAUCUUCCGCAAUGGGCGAAAGCCUGACGGAGCAACGCCGCGUGAGUGAUGAAGGUCUUCGGAUCGUAAAACUCUGUUAUUAGGGAAGAACAUAUGUGUAAGUAACUGUGCACAUCUUGACGGUACCUAAUCAGAAAGCCACGGCUAACUACGUG